Molecule: ribosomal RNA, 468 nt
Filed under: uncultured bacterium
Lineage: Bacteria
Description: partial 16S ribosomal RNA
Rfam family: Bacterial small subunit ribosomal RNA
Source: RNAcentral
GACGAACGCUGGCGGCGUGCUUAACACAUGCAAGUCGAACGGAAAGGCCCUGCUUUUGUGGGGUGCUCGAGUGGCGAACGGGUGAGUAACACGUGAGUAACCGGCCCUUGACUUUGGGAUAACUUCAGGAAACUGGGGCUAAUACCGGAUAGGAGCUCCUGCUGCAUGGUGGGGGUUGGAAAGUUUCGGCGGUUGGGGAUGGACUCGCGGCUUAUCAGCUUGUUGGUGGGGUAGUGGCUUACCAAGGCUUUGACGGGUAGCCGGCCUGAGAGGGUGACCGGCCACAUUGGGACUGAGAUGCGGCCCAGACUCCUACGGGAGGCAGCAGUGGGGAAUAUUGCACAAUGGGCGGAAGCCUGAUGCAGCAACGCCGCGUGCGGGAUGACGGCCUUCGGGUUGUAAACCGCUUUCGCCUGUGACGAAGCGUGAGUGACGGUAAUGGGUAAAGAAGCACCGGCUAACUACGUG